RNAcentral lists this ribosomal RNA (459 nucleotides) under uncultured bacterium. RNAcentral describes it as "partial 16S ribosomal RNA". It matches the Rfam family "Bacterial small subunit ribosomal RNA", at positions 338 to 795 of the family's 1533-position model. The record is from RNAcentral.
CCUACGGGGGACAGCAGUGAGGAAUAUUGGUCACUGGGCGCGAUCCUGAACCAGCCAAGCCGCGUGAGGGAAGACGGCCCUAUGUGUUGUAAACCUCUUUUGUCAGAGAACAAAACCCGGGACGUGUCCCGUACUGCGUGUAUCUGAAGAAAAAGCAUCGGCUACCUCCGUGCCCGCAGCCGCGGUAAUACGGAGGAUGCGAGCGUUAUCCGGAUUUAUUGGGUUUAAAGGGUGCGUGGGCGGUCCGUUAAGUCCGCGUUAAAAUUGCGGGGCUCAACCCCGUCGUGCCGUUGAAACUGGCAGACUUGAGUAGGUGAGAAGUACGCGGAAUGCGCGGUGUAGCGGUGAAAUGCAUAGAUAUCGCGCAGAACUCCGAUUGCGAAGGCAGCGUACCGGCGCCAGACUGACGCUGAGGCACGAAAGCGUGGGGAUCGAACAGGAUUAGAUACCCUAGUAGUC